This 439-nucleotide ribosomal RNA is filed under the name Klebsiella pneumoniae. RNAcentral's name for it is "partial 23S ribosomal RNA". It matches the Rfam family "Bacterial large subunit ribosomal RNA", at positions 419 to 862 of the family's 2925-position model. Lineage: Bacteria; Pseudomonadati; Pseudomonadota; Gammaproteobacteria; Enterobacterales; Enterobacteriaceae. The record is from RNAcentral.
GGGACACGUGGUAUCCUGUCUGAAUAUGGGGGGACCAUCCUCCAAGGCUAAAUACUCCUGACUGACCGAUAGUGAACCAGUACCGUGAGGGAAAGGCGAAAAGAACCCCGGCGAGGGGAGUGAAAAAGAACCUGAAACCGUGUACGUACAAGCAGUGGGAGCACCUUCGGGUGUGACUGCGUACCUUUUGUAUAAUGGGUCAGCGACUUAUAUUCUGUAGCAAGGUUAACCGUAUAGGGGAGCCGCAGGGAAACCGAGUCUUAACUGGGCGUUAAGUUGCAGGGUAUAGACCCGAAACCCGGUGAUCUAGCCAUGGGCAGGUUGAAGGUUGGGUAACACUAACUGGAGGACCGAACCGACUAAUGUUGAAAAAUUAGCGGAUGACUUGUGGCUGGGGGUGAAAGGCCAAUCAAACCGGGAGAUAGCUGGUUCUCCCCGA